CUGCUCUUUCCUGCAGUUGGAGCUAUUAAAUGAAGUUAAUUUAAGAGCCAUCAUCUAUUAGAUGAGAAAAUGUGUCACCAUAAUAAUGAUGAAUGAAAAUACUGCUCGUUAUAAAGUCAAGGAAGCUACCCUGUGAAACUGGGCUAUCAUUCGGCAGUGUUGUUGAGUUUUCCCUUCUAAAUUCAGGAUAUAGGUUAUUACAAGAUAUUGAGGGACUUCCCUGGUGGCACAGUGGUUAAGAAUUUGCCUGCCAGUGCAGGGGACACAGGUUCGAGCCCUGGUCCGGGAAGAUCCCACAUGCUGCGGAGCAACUAAGCCCGUGCGCCACAACUACUGAGCCUGCGCUCUAGACCCCUUGAGCCACAACUACUGAACCCAUAUGCCACAACUACUGAAGCCCACGUGCCUAGAGCCCGUGCUCCACAACAAGAGAAGCCACCGCAAUGAGAAGCCUAUGCACCGCAACAAAGAGUAGCCCUCACUCGCCACAACUAGAGAAAGCCUGCGCACAGCA
Long non-coding RNA from Physeter macrocephalus (sperm whale), 514 nucleotides. RefSeq lists it as uncharacterized. The record is from RefSeq and is a predicted model, not a curated record. The transcript has 3 exons. Lineage: Eukaryota; Metazoa; Chordata; Mammalia; Artiodactyla; Physeteridae.